GAUGAAUAAACCUUAAGAAAGAACACCCUGCUUUUGUAACAGAUGAAGAAAGGCUAUGGAAGAGACAGAUUCUGGAGGAUGCAGCAUUCAAGGUUCUAUCUUGGAAGCAGAGACUGUGCCCUCACCAGAUGCUGAACCUGCUGAGCACCCUGAUCUUCCACUUCACCUUCAUCAGAACUACUGCUGUGAUUGCACCUGCCAUCUUAUGCAGAAAUGACCUGAAGACAGACUGAAACAACGUGUUCUACAGCCUGAAAAUAUCUACCUUGACUUACAGUUUUAUUAAUGCUGGUGUGAUCAGACUGGACAAAAAUUAGCAUAUGUUAUUAACUGAUCUAAUUCAAGUGCCAAUUCUUAAUAGAAACACAAAACAAUAAAAGCAAUUCAGAAAAUA
RNAcentral lists this long non-coding RNA (394 nucleotides) under Homo sapiens (human). Its description in RNAcentral is "PREDICTED lncRNA (TCONS_00194500)". Lineage: Eukaryota; Metazoa; Chordata; Mammalia; Primates; Hominidae. The record is from RNAcentral.